RNAcentral lists this transfer RNA (62 nucleotides) under Rubeospineus bicorniger. Its description in RNAcentral is "tRNA-Ala". It matches the Rfam family "tRNA". Rfam says of the family: Transfer RNA (tRNA) molecules are approximately 80 nucleotides in length. The record is from RNAcentral. Lineage: Eukaryota; Metazoa; Arthropoda; Insecta; Hemiptera; Miridae.
GGGAAUGUAGUUAAAAAUAACAUUUAAUUUGCAAUUAAAAAGUACCACCAUGGUCUUUCUCA